This 1520-nucleotide ribosomal RNA is filed under the name metagenome. Its description in RNAcentral is "bacterial SSU rRNA". It matches the Rfam family "Bacterial small subunit ribosomal RNA". The record is from RNAcentral.
AGAGUUUGAUCCUGGCUCAGAGCGAACGUUAGCGGCGGGCUUAACACAUGCAAGUCGAACGAGAAAGCUCCCUUCGGGGGGUUAGUAAAGUGGCGCACGGGUGAGUAACACGUGGGUAACCUACCCUUUGGCGCGGGAUAACAGCUCGAAAGGGCUGCUAAUACCGCAUAAGUUGAGAGGUUCCUCGGAACCUUUCAGGAAAGGAUGGCCUCUGCUUGCAAGCUAUCGCCGGAGGAGGGGCCCGCGCCCCAUCAGCUUGAUGGUGAGGUAAUGGCUCACCAUGGCAAAGACGGGUAGCUGGUCUGAGAGGAUGAUCAGCCACACUGGGACUGAGACACGGCCCAGACUCCUACGGGAGGCAGCAGUGGGGAAUAUUGGACAAUGGGCGAAAGCCUGAUCCAGCCACGCCGCGUGUGUGAUGAAGGCCUUCGGGUCGUAAAGCACUGUGGAGGGGGACGAACAAGCAGUGGGAACAUACCCCAUUGCCCUGACGGUACCCCUUUAGGAAGCACCGGCUAACUCCGUGCCAGCAGCCGCGGUAAUACGGAGGGUGCAAACGUUGCUCGGAAUUAUUGGGCGUAAAGCGCGUGUAGGCGGCGCGUUAAGUCGAGUGUGAAAGCCCCGGGCUUAACCCGGGAAGUGCGCUCGAAACUGGCGUGCUAGAGUACGGGAGAGGGUAGCGGAAUUCCCGGUGUAGAGGUGAAAUUCGUAGAUAUCGGGAGGAACACCAGCGGCGAAGGCGGCUACCUGGACCGAUACUGACGCUGAGACGCGAAAGCGUGGGUAGCAAACAGGAUUAGAUACCCUGGUAGUCCACGCCGUAAACGAUGAGUGCUAGGUGUCGCGGGUAUUGACCCCUGCGGUGCCGAAGCUAACGCAUUAAGCACUCCGCCUGGGGAGUACGGCCGCAAGGCUAAAACUCAAAGGAAUUGAUGGGGGCCCGCACAAGCGGUGGAGCAUGUGGUUCAAUUCGACACACGCGAAGAACCUACCUGGGUUGGAAACCUCCUGAAUCCCCUAGAGAUAGGGGAGUGCCCUUCGGGGAACGGGAUGUCCAGGUGCUGCAUGGCUGUCGUCAGCUCGUGUCGUGAGAUGUUGGGUUAAGUCCCGCAACGAGCGCAACCCUUGUCUCUAGUUACCAUCGGUUCGGCCGGGGACUCUAGAGAGACUGCCGGUGUUAAACCGGAGGAAGGUGGGGAUGACGUCAAGUCCUCAUGGCCCUUAUGCCCAGGGCUACACACGUGCUACAAUGGCGGUUACAACGGGCAGCGACAUCGUGAGGUGAAGCCAAUCCCUAAAAAGCCGUCUCAGUUCGGAUAGGAGUCUGCAACUCGACUCCUUGAAGCCGGAAUCGCUAGUAAUCGGAGAUCAGAACGCUCCGGUGAAUACGUUCCCGGGCCUUGUACACACCGCCCGUCACACCAUGGAAGUCGGGGACUCCAGAAGUGGCUGAGCCAACCCUUUGGGGAAGCAGGUCCCUAAGGAGUGUCCGGUAACAGGGGUGAAGUCGUAACAAGGUA